UGUGGAAUCUUGCACAAUGGGGGCAACCCUGAUGCAGCGACGCCGCGUGAGCGAUGAAGCCCUUCGGGGCGUAAAGCUCUUUCGACCGGAACGAUAAUGACGGUACCGGGAGAAGAAGCUGCGGCUAACAACGUGCCAGCAGCCGCGGUAAUACGUAGGCAGCAAGCGUUGUUCGGAGUUACUGGGCGUAAAGAGUGCGUAGGCGGUUUUCUAAGUUCGGUGUGAAAUCUCCCGGCUUAACUGGGAGGGUGCGCCGAAGACUGGGAAGCUGGAGUGUGGGAAAGGCAGGCGGAAUUCCUGGUGUAGCGGUGAAAUGCGUAGAUAUCAGGAGGAACACCGGCGGUGUAGACGGCUUGCUAGACCAUAACUGACGCUGAGGCACGAAAGCGUGGGUAGCAAACA
Molecule: ribosomal RNA, 402 nt
Filed under: uncultured bacterium
Lineage: Bacteria
Description: bacterial SSU rRNA
Rfam family: Bacterial small subunit ribosomal RNA
Source: RNAcentral